GUAUAUCUGCGGUGUACGUUGACCCAAAUAAUUCAACCGACAUAGUGAACACGGGAGUUCGGGUUCAGCAGCGUAGGGCAGGCCUUCUUCGUAUGGAAGCUCCAAGUUGUUGGCAGGACACCCCCCUUGUGAGAGGCGGGUGUGAAUUAGUUGGGGGACGGCAUCGUGGUUAUACA
RNAcentral lists this non-coding RNA (176 nucleotides) under Tissierellia bacterium. RNAcentral describes it as "6S RNA". It matches the Rfam family "6S / SsrS RNA". Rfam says of the family: E. coli 6S RNA was the first non coding RNA to be sequenced, but its function was unknown until recently. It consists of 184 nucleotides that fold into an extended hairpin structure with a large single-stranded internal bulge. Lineage: Bacteria; Bacillati; Bacillota; Tissierellia. The record is from RNAcentral.